This 791-nucleotide ribosomal RNA is filed under the name human gut metagenome. RNAcentral describes it as "bacterial SSU rRNA". It matches the Rfam family "Bacterial small subunit ribosomal RNA", at positions 43 to 810 of the family's 1533-position model. The record is from RNAcentral.
CGUGCCUAACACAUGCAAGUCGAACGGAGAAUUUUAUUUCGGUAGAAUUCUUAGUGGCGAACGGGUGAGUAACGCGUAGGCAACCUGCCCUUUAGACGGGGACAACAUUCCGAAAGGAGUGCUAAUACCGGAUGUGAUCAUCGUGCCGCAUGGCAGGAUGAAGAAAGAUGGCCUCUACAAGUAAGCUAUCGCUAAAGGAUGGGCCUGCGUCUGAUUAGCUAGUUGGUAGUGUAACGGACUACCAAGGCGAUGAUCAGUAGCCGGUCUGAGAGGAUGAACGGCCACAUUGGGACUGAGACACGGCCCAAACUCCUACGGGAGGCAGCAGUGGGGAAUCUUCCGCAAUGGACGAAAGUCUGACGGAGCAACGCCGCGUGAGUGAUGAAGGAUUUCGGUCUGUAAAGCUCUGUUGUUUAUGACGAACGUGCAGUGUGUGAACAAUGCAUUGCAAUGACGGUAGUAAACGAGGAAGCCACGGCUAACUACGUGCCAGCAGCCGCGGUAAUACGUAGGUGGCGAGCGUUGUCCGGAAUUAUUGGGCGUAAAGAGCAUGUAGGCGGCUUAAUAAGUCGAGCGUGAAAAUGCGGGGCUCAACCCCGUAUGGCGCUGGAAACUGUUAGGCUUGAGUGCAGGAGAGGAAAGGGGAAUUCCCAGUGUAGCGGUGAAAUGCGUAGAUAUUGGGAGGAACACCAGUGGCGAAGGCGCCUUUCUGGACUGUGUCUGACGCUGAGAUGCGAAAGCCAGGGUAGCGAACGGGAUUAGAUACCCCGGUAGUCCUGGCCGUAAACGAU